UGGCGAGGCAACGAAUUUAUGGCGAGAAAAGGGAAACAGGAAAUGUGUUAUAACUUCUGCAUACAUUGAUUGAUCUUUAUGAAACUUCAUGAGUGUAUUGGUUGUAAUAGUCCGAUCACAUGGAUGUGACUAUUGUGAGUCAAAGUUAUACUGCCACCAACUGGCAGCAGGAAGCGUGUCACUUUCAAAAUGCUUUGAGAUCACCAUCUUAUUUUUAUCCGAUUUGUUUCAAUCUUCACCACAAUAAUGUCAAAACAUGGCAGAUGUAGACUUUUGAAAAGAAUUGUGAUAUCUCAAACAUAGUUGCCUUGGCAACACGUCAAACUUUUAUAAUAUUCUUGGGCGUUUUUGAAGCCGUUAACAUGCUUCAAAUUGGAUGAAACUCGACACACAUAUAUCAUUAUUGUCAUACAGUAGAUAUGGACAAAGCCUUAGAAACGGGCGGGGAGCAGGGGCUCUGCAGCGCCACCUUUUGACAAAAGUGGGGGGUUUAGUUUAACCUACAGUCACCAAACUCGGUACACUUAUUGUUCUCAUUAAACUGGACAACUUUCUCAUUUACAGUCACUAGCUCUGACCAACAGGAAGUCAGAUAUUUUGGUUUAAAUGUGGAUUUUUCAAACAUUCUUACGCACACACUUAAGCUCUCUUAGACGUAGGGUCUCAGUCCCCCUACCCCUCCCUCUGUGUGUGUGUGUGUGUGUGUGUGUGUGUGUGUGUGUGUGUGUGUGUGAGUGAAAGUGAGAGACAGAGAGACAGAGAGAGUUUUACAGCCUUGAUCAGUUAUUUAACCCUUUUAUUGCAGACUCACUGUGCUUAAGAGUUUAUUCCCAACCCUUACUCAAACACAUCUGAAGCAGCUAAUCAGGCCAGUUCAUUUGUAGGCCACUGACAACAUAUUAUUACAUUAUUAGUUUGAUAAUUAGGGUUAAUUCAAAUAUAAAAACACACUGCAAAAGCAUGCUUUUAGUGCAUAAGAUUGGGGCACAAACAACAGCUCAGGGAGGUCAAAAACAUAAACUGUCAAUUUUUCUUUCAUGUUUUAUUUUCAGACAUCAUGAGAAUUACAUAACGCUU
Long non-coding RNA from Megalobrama amblycephala (Wuchang bream), 1077 nucleotides. RefSeq lists it as uncharacterized. The transcript is spliced from 3 exons. The record is from RefSeq and is a predicted model, not a curated record. NCBI's taxonomy places the organism in Eukaryota, Metazoa, Chordata, Actinopteri, Cypriniformes, Xenocyprididae.